RNAcentral lists this microRNA precursor (153 nucleotides) under Amborella trichopoda. RNAcentral describes it as "MIR8565 microRNA precursor family". It matches the Rfam family "MIR8565 microRNA precursor family". Lineage: Eukaryota; Viridiplantae; Streptophyta; Magnoliopsida; Amborellales; Amborellaceae. The record is from Rfam by way of RNAcentral.
UCCCAACCCAUGUGUGUAGGACCCCAAAGGAUCACCAUUAAAUAUGACACAGAUCUCUAGAAAAGUUAUCACAUGAUGUGGGACUUGACUUUUCUAGAGAUCUGUGCCAAAUUUAAUGGUGAUCCUUUGGGGUCCUGCACACAUGGGUGCGGU